Non-coding RNA from Jatropha curcas, 188 nucleotides. NCBI's taxonomy places the organism in Eukaryota, Viridiplantae, Streptophyta, Magnoliopsida, Malpighiales, Euphorbiaceae. The record is from RefSeq and is a predicted model, not a curated record.
AUAGAUAGGGCAGUGAUUAGGUCUGAAAGAUUCAUAGGCUUGCCAUGCUUGUUAAUGCAUCUUGGUAUUCCUAAUUGAACUGCACAUUUUAAGGACAUGGAAUUUAUGAAGUUGAAAAUAUGGUUCCAUAUAUGAGCUUGAGCUUCGAGUUGCUGAUUAGAAUCUUGGUUUAGAAUUCCGUCAGCCAU